GAUGAAGAACGUAGCGAAAUGCGAUAAGUAAUGUGAAUUGCAGAAUUCAGUGAAUCAUCGAAUCUUUGAACGCACAUUGCGCCCGCCAGCAUUCUGGCGGGCAUGCCUGUUCGAGCGUCAUUUCAACCAUCAAGCCCCCGGCUUGUGUUGGGGACCUGCGGCUGCCGCAGGCCCUGAAAAGCAGUGGCGGGCUCGCUGUCACACCGAGCGUAGUAGAUUUUAUCUCGCUCAGGGCGUGCUGCGGGUUCCGGCCGUUAAACCACCUUCAUAACCCAAGGUUGACCUCGGAUCAGGUAGGAAGACCCGCUGAACUUAAGCAUAUCAAUAAGCGGAGGA
Molecule: unclassified non-coding RNA, 336 nt
Filed under: soil metagenome
Description: partial contains 5.8S ribosomal RNA, internal transcribed spacer 2, and large subunit ribosomal RNA
Rfam family: 5.8S ribosomal RNA (bases 1-120)
Source: RNAcentral